Molecule: ribosomal RNA, 203 nt
Filed under: Salmonella enterica subsp. enterica serovar Oranienburg
Lineage: Bacteria; Pseudomonadati; Pseudomonadota; Gammaproteobacteria; Enterobacterales; Enterobacteriaceae
Also listed under: 4 other names
Description: partial 16S ribosomal RNA
Rfam family: Bacterial small subunit ribosomal RNA
Source: RNAcentral
AAAUUGAAGAGUUUGAUCAUGGCUCAGAUUGAACGCUGGCGGCAGGCCUAACACAUGCAAGUCGAACGGUAACAGGAAGCAGCUUGCUGCUUUGCUGACGAGUGGCGGACGGGUGAGUAAUGUCUGGGAAACUGCCUGAUGGAGGGGGAUAACUACUGGAAACGGUGGCUAAUACCGCAUAAUGUCGCAAGACCAAAGAGGGG